Long non-coding RNA from Silurus meridionalis, 120 nucleotides. RefSeq lists it as uncharacterized. Lineage: Eukaryota; Metazoa; Chordata; Actinopteri; Siluriformes; Siluridae. The record is from RefSeq and is a predicted model, not a curated record. The transcript has 3 exons.
GUCAUCAUCAGUAGAACAGGAUGGAGCUCCGUCCACUCUGUGUGAUGAUCUUGUUGACUGGACUCCAUUGUACACAAGCAGAUUAUGCACACACACAAGAUAAUUCUGCUGCAUCUUUGC